This is a long non-coding RNA of Falco peregrinus (peregrine falcon), 1558 nucleotides long. RefSeq lists it as uncharacterized. The transcript is spliced from 3 exons. The record is from RefSeq and is a predicted model, not a curated record. NCBI's taxonomy places the organism in Eukaryota, Metazoa, Chordata, Aves, Falconiformes, Falconidae.
GUGUAUCUAGAUCAGCUUUCACAGUGAAUUAAGAUGUUCAGAUGGUAGACUAGCUGUUUUAUUACAAUUCUGAACUAAAGCUAUCUGUAAAGCUUUGGUGUCUGUUUCUCCACUGCUGACUGACUUCCCCUUUUCUGCAGCUGGUCUGUGGAAAGUCACCACUGAUACCUUUCCUCGUCCCUCGCAAUCACAAAAAGAUAUUCCUGUUCCAGUACCAUUCUCUUAAUGUGGCUGUGCCUUUGCUUUUCAAUUUUUUCGCUGCUUUUCUUUCUUUCUUUCUUUUUUUAAAUUAUAUUCUACCUGUGAAAAGAAAAGAGAAGAUACAAAGAAGCAGCAAGGAGAUCUGCAGGGGUAUGGAUUCUUAAAUAAUUUUCUAGAAAGGUCCAGGUUUGAGUGAGGCAAAUGCACAUUGAUCUAGUGAUUUUGCACUCAAUUUUUGGUAUUCCUGGGAGUAAAUAAAUUGUAACCUGUUUCAGAUAAUCUGUUUUUCCUCUGUAGUUGUAGGUCCUAACAAGGAUGUUGUACCAGUGUCAGGUCAAGUUGGAGUAAAAUAUGGUGGCUUAAUUGGAGGUUCUGGAGUUAGGUGAUACAGUUGCAAGAGGAGCUCAGUGAGAUGGACACAGUUAGCAAGUAGCCACAUAACAAUAUAUAUAGUGAUAUAACCUUUCAUUUCUCCUUGCACCCUCCUCAGGGUCCCAGAUUUAUUCACUGCUGGAAGUCUGUACGUAUUCCUGCAAGAAUCAGUAUUAUUUGCAGAAUUUGAGACACUUCUUCACUGUGCAGGAGUGAGAAUGGGGGAACAAAACAUGGGAAAGGAGCUGAAGGCAGACAAAAAUUAGUUUAAGGAAGCUACACAGAACUGGUUCCUGGCACUCCCAUGGAGUUUUUUAAAUUGAAAAAAAACAUUACUAGCUGCUGUAUUUCCACUUCCCUAUUAGUUUUUACUAUGAGGAAGCCUGAGCUCAAUAGGAACUCUUAAUAAUAUAGAAGUAUUAUAAAUAUAGACAAAAAUCACAAGGGAAAAUAAUAUCCUAAGAACUCCAAGCUGGAAGCUUAGUGUGUGGGCACUUUUCUGUAAUUUUGCUAUUAAUCUCUUUGUCUGUCAGUUCCCUAUUUGGAAAAUAAGGUCUCUUAGUAAUAGGAAACAGCCCUGUCUGGAUGGCAUCUCAGACCUGAAGGGAAAACAUCUCACCAGAAAUAAGAACUGAACAAAGAGAAAGACCUGCCUGAUCCUGUCCUCAACUCAUCUGCACCUGAAAAAGAAAGGUUCUGGAAUUGCAGUCACCUCUGAUGCCUUCCAAGUAGGGAAGGAAGAUGAAAGUUUCCAACAUAGCCAGCAGUUAUGCACUACAUGGAUAUCACUGAUCUCUACAUGGACGGCAAAUUGAUUUCUUUCAGAUGCUCUUGACUUACUGUGUAUAUCACACGCACAGUGGGUCCAAUAUGCCCAGCAGAUAGUGAGCUUAAUCUUCAAUUGAUCUGCACAUGUGCAGCAAGUGCAAUGCAUUCUAGACACAGAAACUUUACUGUGCAUGUGAGGUAAGUGCAAACUGAGUGU